CUCCCGCAGAGCUGCGUGGUCAGCGCAGGCGCAGCUGUAUCCUGCAAGGAACUCUGGUGCGAAGGCGGGAUGCAAAGCCUCUGAGUAUGGCACCCUGUGAGCCACUGACAGCAGAAAGGAACAAAAAGUUCCUUUGCUCUGGACUUCUAUCACGAUUCUGGGAACUGGGAGAGAGCUGUGAACAAGAGGCAAAGCACCCAGCUCCCUCAUUGAGUGGGUCGGAUGGAAAGUAAGUCAACAGGCCACGAAGGUCCGCAAGACAAAGCCCACAUCAUUCACAACAGAACCUGGCUUCUCUUUCUGGGAUGCUGGAGAGAGGAUGCACCUGAUGGGCACGUGCUGCUCCAGAUGCAGUUACUUCCUGGACGAUCAUCCACCCGGCGUCCACCUGACCCGCAGCACCCCAGUUCAUCUGAGUUUGGAGCAGAGAAAGCUUAAGAAGCUCUGAUAACAGAAAAGGAUUUUUGCCAGUUUAUCCACUAAACCCAGAGAAAGAGUGACUCAGAAUGGGAAUUCCCAAGGAAUCUGAUGGUGGAGGAAAGAGGUCAAGAAAGGAAGAAAACAAAUCAAGAGGAAAGACCAGAGAGGGAAGAAAUAAAGAUUACGCUGUAAGUACCAGGGAACCAGGAAAAAAGAAAUGGGGCAAAGAAGACCUGGGAGGAAGUGGUAGAGUUCAAGACUACAAGACUACUUCUGUACCACUCUUUGAUUCUAGAACCAUCUUCCUCAUAUCAUCCUACAAAGCCACAAAGAACAGGGA
This is a long non-coding RNA of Cervus elaphus (red deer), 760 nucleotides long. RefSeq lists it as uncharacterized. The record is from RefSeq and is a predicted model, not a curated record. NCBI's taxonomy places the organism in Eukaryota, Metazoa, Chordata, Mammalia, Artiodactyla, Cervidae. The transcript has 5 exons.